UAGGGAAUCUUCCACAAUGGACGCAAGUCUGAUGGAGCAACGCCGCGUGAGUGAAGAAGGUUUUCGGACCGUAAAGCUCUGUUGUUGGUGAAGAAGGAUAGAGGUAGUAACUGGCCUUUAUUUGACGGUAAUCAACCAGAAAGUCACGGCUAACUACGUGCCAGCAGCCGCGGUAAUACGUAGGUGGCAAGCGUUGUCCGGAUUUAUUGGGCGUAAAGCGAGCGCAGGCGGAAGAAUAAGUCUGAUGUGAAAGCCCUCGGCUUAACCGAGGAAUUGCAUCGGAAACUGUUUUCUUGAGUGCAGAAGAGGAGAGUAGAACUCCAUGUGUAGCGGUGGAAUGCGUAGAUAUAUGGAAGAAUACCAGUGGCGAAGGCGGCUCUCUGGUCUGCAACUGACGCUGAGGCUCGAAAGCAUGGGUAGCGAACAGGAUUAGAUACCCUGGUAGUCCAUGCCGUAAAACGAUGAGUGCUAAGUGUUGGGAGGCUUCCGCCUCUCAGUGCUGCAGCUAACGCAUUAAGCACUCCGCCUGGGGGAGUACGACCGCAAGGUUGAAACUCAA
This 559-nucleotide ribosomal RNA is filed under the name uncultured bacterium. RNAcentral describes it as "partial 16S ribosomal RNA". It matches the Rfam family "Bacterial small subunit ribosomal RNA", at positions 355 to 904 of the family's 1533-position model. The record is from RNAcentral.